This 443-nucleotide ribosomal RNA is filed under the name uncultured bacterium. RNAcentral's name for it is "partial 16S ribosomal RNA". It matches the Rfam family "Bacterial small subunit ribosomal RNA", at positions 338 to 795 of the family's 1533-position model. The record is from RNAcentral.
CCUACGGGUGGCAGCAGUGGGGAAUAUUGCACAAUGGGGGGAACCCUGAUGCAGCAAUGCCGCGUGAAGGAUGACGGUUUUCGGAUUGUAAACUUCUGUCGUAAGGGACGAUGAAAGCGACGGUACCGUAAGAAUAAGCCACGGACAACUACGUGCCAGCAGCCGCGGUAAUACGGAGGUGGCAAGCGUUAUCCGGAUUUACUGGGUGUAAAGGGCGAGUAGGCGGGAUUUCAAGUUAGAUGUGAAAACUAUGGGCUCAACCGAUAGAGUGCAUUUGAAACUGCAGUUCUAGAGUGAUGGAGAGGCAGACGGAAUUCCCGGUGUAGCGGUGGAAUGCGUAGAUAGCGGGAGGAACACCAGUGGCGAAGGCGGUCUGCUGGACAGUAACUGACGCUGAGGCUCGAAAGUGUGGGGAGCAAAUAGGAUUAGAUACCCGUGUAGUC